GAACGCGGGUGGGCGGGGGCUCUGGCCGCGCGCCCCCUGCAGCAGCUUCCUCUCCCCCCCCGGCCUCGUGCGGGGCCUGUGCUUCUAGAGCCUGGGAAAUUUCCCAAACUCUGGGAAUUUUUGAGUAAAAUGUUUCAAAUUGGGAAUUUUCAUUCAAAACCUAAAUAAUACUGGGAAAUUUUCAUAAAAAGUAGAAGACUUUCCAAAUCUCAAACAUCCUGGGAAGUUUUCAUAAGUAAAAUAUUUGCGCUUUUUAAAUUUCCCUCAAAAUGCGUUCUUCAAUUGGUGAAUAUUUGCCACGUGGUUUUGGGCUGUGCUGCUCUCCUGUUGGUGGAGCUUCAACAUAGGGAUAGCUCAGUGGUUUGAGCAUUGGCCUGCUAAACCCAGGGUUGUGAGUUCAAUCUUUGAGGGAAUGGGGGUAAAAAAAUCUGUCUAGGAAUUGGUCCUACUUUGAGCAGCGGGUUGGACUAAAUGACCACCUGAGGUCCCUUCCAACCAUAAUGGUCUAUGAAAAAAAAAAUGACAGUAGUGACAAGUAUAUGCACACAGAACAAACCAACCCCAGCAACAGCUGGCUGGCAGGUAAUGAGGAGAUGGUUAUCAAAGUUAUCUUCUAGUUGCUCAGAGAAUGUGGACCAGAGCAUUUGGCUGUUCAUAAACUUGUGACAGCACCUUCCUCCAGGCAAAUAUUAAAUAUCUUCACCUACUGUGUUAGAGAUCUCGUCACAUUUUUUAUCUAACAUAAAAAAUGAAUAAAGAGACAGCUAAGGCUGGUGAGAAGAGAACUGCAGUAGUAGACAAAGAUCCAUCCACAUUGAAAUGAAAACAACAGGAUAGCACCCCCAACAGAGUAUUGAAGAUUUGGGGUGAACUUCCACCAAAAGAGAAGCCAUCUACUUUCAAAAAAGCCUUUCAAGACUCGUGGCUUCAAGAAGGUAAAUACAAAGACUGGCUGCAGAAAGUAGAAAACAAUUGUUUUUUAGCUUAUUGCAAAUGUUGUGAUGUAAAAAUCCAGGAAGGUACUAGUGAGUUAGAUAAGCACGCAAAUGGUAAAAGACAAACAAAAGGUUGAGACAGUAUCUAAUACAAAGAAAACUGAUAUGUUUAAUAAACAAGAUUGUAAAAUUAUAAAAGCACAAACAUUUCAAGAGCAAGUUAAAAAUGCAGAGAUUAGAAUGGCUUGUUAUUUUGCUGAACACGUCAGUAUUCAAUCUGUAGAACACUUGACUGAAGUAGUUAAAAAAAUGUUUCCCUGACUCCAAAAUUGCUGAGGCUGUAACAUUAAAGAAAGAUAAAUGUACUGCUAUAGUUAGCAAUGUUUUGGUGCAAACUGAGACUGAGGAACGUGUAGAAAAAUUGAAAGUUAAUGAAUUUAGAUUAUUCAGGUCAAUUCAUGUUUGCAAAUAUAUCUAAACUGGCUAAAAAGGUUUUCACAUUACCACAUUCAAAUGCAGCAUAUGAAAGAAUUUUUUCCAUGGUAACUGACAUAAAAACCAUAAAAAGAAACUGUAUGACAACCAAAACACUCAAUUCUAGUGUAGUUAUAAGGUCAACUUUGAAAGCAAAGCAAGAGAAAUGUUCUAAUUUUGUAAUUACUAUUAAGCACUUGUAUUCACAUUGUAAAAAUAUGUACAGUAAAAAUGACAGUGAUAAAACUAGUAAAAAUAUUAAUGAUGGUAAUGAUGUUUCUAGUGACGAUUCAGACCAUGAGUUAGAAAAUGGAUAAAACUCAGAUUAUAAUAAGGAAAAUUAUAUAAAAGUGUUAUUUGUUCUUUGUUUGCUUUUUUAUCUUAUUUUAUAAACAUAUGUUUACUUUUUAUUUUUUCAAAGUAACUGAUGUACAGUACACUGCAGGGCACAUGCUGUACUUAAUACUUUUUUUUUAAAAUAGUGAAAUUUGUGUAAAAUACAUUGUUUUCUAUC
Molecule: long non-coding RNA, 1923 nt
Organism: Mauremys reevesii (Reeves's turtle)
Lineage: Eukaryota; Metazoa; Chordata; Testudines; Geoemydidae
Exons: 3
Source: RefSeq, a predicted model, not a curated record